Molecule: ribosomal RNA, 497 nt
Filed under: uncultured bacterium
Lineage: Bacteria
Description: partial 16S ribosomal RNA
Rfam family: Bacterial small subunit ribosomal RNA
Source: RNAcentral
GAUGAACGCUGGCGGCGUGCCUAAUACAUGCAAGUCGAGCGAACGGACGAGAAGCUUGCUUCUCUGAUGUUAGCGGCGGACGGGUGAGUAACACGUGGAUAACCUACCUAUAAGACUGGGAUAACUUCGGGAAACCGGAGCUAAUACCGGAUAAUAUUUUGAACCGCAUGGUUCAAAAGUAAAAGACGGUCUUGCUGUCACUUAUAGAUGGAUCCGCGCUGCAUUAGCUAGUUGGUAAGGUAACGGCUUACCAAGGCAACGAUGCAUAGCCGACCUGAGAGGGUGAUCGGCCACACUGGAACUGAGACACGGUCCAGACUCCUACGGGAGGCAGCAGUAGGGAAUCUUCCGCAAUGGGCGAACGCCUGACGGAGCAACGCCGCGUGAGUGAUGAAGGUCUUCGGAUCGUAAAACUCUGUUAUUAGGGAAGAACAUAUGUGUAAGUAACUGUGCACAUCUUGACGGUACCUAAUCAGAAAGCCACGGCUAACUACGUG